AGAGUUUGAUCCUGGCUCAGAACGAACGCUGGCGGCGUGCUUAACACAUGCAAGUCGAACGCGAAAGCCUGGGCAACUGGGUGAGUAGAGUGGCGCACGGGUGAGCAACACGUGGGUAACCUACCUUCGAGUGGGGAAUAACUCCUCGAAAGGGGAGCUAAUACCGCAUAAGACCACGACUUCUUUAGGAGUUGUGGUCAAAGGUGGCCUCAUUUUCUAGAGCAUUUGGGAUGAUCCUCUCGAGUGGAGGAUGAUCCUCAGUGCUUUGUCGAGUGAAGCUGCCGCUUGAAGAGGGGCCCGCGGCCCAUCAGCUAGUUGGUAGGGUAAUGGCCUACCAAGGCGACGACGGGUAGCUGGUCUGAGAGGACGACCAGCCACACGGGAAUUGAGAUACGGUCCCGACUCCUACGGGAGGCAGCAGUGGGGAAUCUUGGGCAAUGGGGGAAACCCUGACCCAGCGACGCCGCGUGGGGGAUGAAGGCUCUCGGGUCGUAAACCCCUGUUAGGUGGGACGAACAUUCUCUGGUAAAUAACUGGAGGAUCUGACGGUACCACCAGAGAAAGCCCCGGCUAACUCCGUGCCAGCAGCCGCGGUAAUACGGAGGGGGCAAGUGUUGUUCGGAAUUACUGGGCGUAAAGGGCGCGUAGGCGGCUUGGCAAGUCGAGUGUGAAAUCCCUUGGCUUAACUGAGGAAUGGCGCUCGAAACUACCUCGCUAGAGGGCGGGAGAGGGAAGUGGAACUCUCGGUGUAGGGGUGAAAUCUGUAGAUAUCGAGAGGAACACCGGUGGCGAAGGCGGCUUCCUGGCCCGUACCUGACGCUGAGGCGCGAAAGCGUGGGGAGCAAACAGGAUUAGAUACCCCCGUAGUCC
Molecule: ribosomal RNA, 870 nt
Filed under: uncultured bacterium
Lineage: Bacteria
Description: bacterial SSU rRNA
Rfam family: Bacterial small subunit ribosomal RNA
Source: RNAcentral